Molecule: small nuclear RNA, 106 nt
Organism: Arvicanthis niloticus (Nile rat)
Lineage: Eukaryota; Metazoa; Chordata; Mammalia; Rodentia; Muridae
Source: RefSeq, a predicted model, not a curated record
AUGCUCUCUUUGGCAGCACAUUUACUAAAAUUGGAACGAUACAGUGAAGAUUAGCAUGGCAGCCGCACAAGGAUGACAUGCAGAUUAUAAAGUGUUCUAUAUUUUA